This 301-nucleotide small RNA is filed under the name Pan troglodytes (chimpanzee). RNAcentral's name for it is "retained intron". The record is from RNAcentral. Lineage: Eukaryota; Metazoa; Chordata; Mammalia; Primates; Hominidae.
UGGCUUUGAGCUUCAUGGCAGCCAGUAUAAAAAAGGAUUGACAUGAUCUCAUAGUUUUAUAUCGCUCACAUGAUACAUAUCACUUCCAAAGCAGUAGCUUUUCUGAGCACAAAAUACUAAAAAUCCUCAGGUGAGAUUUAGUAAGAGGGCUAAGACAGCAACUGGUUCUCUUUUUCAGCAACCACAGAAGACAACUGCAAUGGGACAUGCCAUACCAGCGCCAACUGCCUCACCAACUCAGAUGGUACAGCUUCAUGCAAGUGUGCAGCAGGAUUCCAAGGAAACGGGACCAUCUGCACAG